UUCUUGUAGUUAAAGUUUUUAAUGGCAGCUUUUCGAGCUGGAGA
Molecule: transfer RNA, 44 nt
Filed under: Berenicornis comatus
Lineage: Eukaryota; Metazoa; Chordata; Aves; Bucerotiformes; Bucerotidae
Description: partial tRNA-Glu
Source: RNAcentral